Molecule: ribosomal RNA, 468 nt
Filed under: uncultured bacterium
Lineage: Bacteria
Description: partial 16S ribosomal RNA
Rfam family: Bacterial small subunit ribosomal RNA
Source: RNAcentral
GACGAACGCUGGCGGCGUGCUUAACACAUGCAAGUCGAACGGAAAGGCCCUGCUUUUGUGGGGUGCUCGAGUGGCGAACGGGUGAGUAACACGUGAGUAACCUGCCCUUGACUUUGGGAUAACUUCAGGAAACUGGGGCUAAUACCGGAUAGGAGCUCCUGCUGCAUGGUGGGGGUUGGAAAGUUUCGGCGGUUGGGGAUGGACUCGCGGCUUAUCAGCUUGUUGGUGGGGUAGUGGCUUACCAAGGCUUUGACGGGUAGCCGGCCUGAGAGGGUGACCGGCCACCAUGGGACUGCGGUACGGACCAGACUCCUACGGGCGGCAGCAGUGGAGAAUAUUGCACAAUGGGCGGAAGCCUGAUGCAGCAGCGCCGCGUGCGGGAUGCCGGCCUUCGGGUUGUAAACCGCUUUCGCCUGUGCCGAAGCGUGAGUGACGGUAAUGGGUAAAGAAGCACCGGCUAACUACGUG